CUGUGGCGGCUGCAGCCUCCGUGCCUUCCUCAUUGACCUCCACAAAAGACUUGUGCACGACCUUGGACAGAGACAGGUCUGUCUGGGACAUUCCAGAGAAGUCUGCCUUGCCCAGCUCGAAGGCAUCAGUCAUGCCCAGGUUGCGCAGGACACUCUCCAUGUCGUAGCUUUCCUCUAGUUUAAACCGCGGGAGGGACACUUCCACCUCCUCUUCAUCCAUCAUGUCCAGCCUCGUCCAUUCUACGAACUUCUCGUAAGUGAGUUCUUUCUCCACCUAGAGGGAGACAGUUGAAGACUUUAAGACCCAGGGUGCUGCUGCCCAGCAGGGCCCUGUGCUAUGCUGUGGAUGCCAGACACCAGUGGCAGCGUGGCUAUGGUCAGCAGCGCUCCAGUGUUAAACGGCUGACCGCAAAGUAGGGACAGCAGCCACAGCAGACACCCCCGAGUGGCUCCUUGCUAGCACGCCUCGCUCACAGCUUAGCUGUUACCGUUCUCAAGUCAGUGGUCUCGUCCGGAAGCAUGAUGAUCAUAUUCAGUUCCUUGCCAACAUAUGGAAGCACCAAGAUUUGGGUAAAUAUUUCUCCUAUAUAGGUCUUCUUAAAAGUAGAUUGCUUAAACAUCAUUUGCACAGGUUUCUCCUCAUUCUACAAAGAAAACAGAUAAACAUCAAGUUGAAACAAGACCCCACUGACACAUGGGACAAAUGUGUCGGAGCUGGCCACUCUCUGCAGGGAGAAACGCAGCUCGGUUUCUCCCCAGCUUCCAGAACACCCGGCAGCGCCUGCUCUGCCAUCUUCAUUACCUCAACCUCCAGAAACUGGGGUGCCCAGGGCCCAAACCCAACGUGUCUUUCCUCUCAUUGAUCGCAUUCAGUCUCAUGGCUUUAAACACAAUAUCACACCAAAUUUACCUCCCGCCUGGGCCUCUGCCCUGUCCUUGGGCCUCCUGCAUUUUACUGCCCACCUGCACCUAUGUUUGGACAUAAAAGAAACUCCCAGCGCCACCUGUAAUGCGGCACUCCGUAGAUCCUCCAAGUCGGCUCUGUCUACUGCAACUCUGCCCAUCUCAGCUGAGGGCAGUGCCACUGUCCAGUGGUCAAAAGCCCUGGAGUGCCCCUGACUCCUGUCUUUCUCUCACACCCUGUGUCUGACUCACUGGCAAAUUAUAUUGGCUCUACCU
Molecule: long non-coding RNA, 1179 nt
Filed under: Homo sapiens (human)
Lineage: Eukaryota; Metazoa; Chordata; Mammalia; Primates; Hominidae
Description: HSALNT0099950
Source: RNAcentral